RNAcentral lists this long non-coding RNA (282 nucleotides) under Capsicum annuum. Its description in RNAcentral is "long non-coding RNA (CANN_LNC021253)". The record is from RNAcentral. Lineage: Eukaryota; Viridiplantae; Streptophyta; Magnoliopsida; Solanales; Solanaceae.
CCCCGGUUUCCCCUAUGACAUCAUACAAACAUCACACAUAUCGCUGAAAAUAAUAUGGCUAAAUAGCCGAAGAUGUAAUAGAAAGUAAUUUUGUCUUCGUUCCCUGACACCAAACUCAAAUGAAAAGGAGGUUUCUUCUUGUUGAGUAGCUCAUACCAAUCAAUCGUACAUAUAUCAGAUAUCAUGUAUAACCACAAGAGGUAAAAAAGCGUAGAGACAUAUAUUACUGGCAUGCCUACAUAUAUUACUGGCAUGCCUUGAAGUUAUCGCUAAAGGUUAGAC